Molecule: ribosomal RNA, 1198 nt
Filed under: metagenome
Description: bacterial SSU rRNA
Rfam family: Bacterial small subunit ribosomal RNA
Source: RNAcentral
GAGGUUGAACGGCCACAUUGGGACUGAGACACGGCCCAGACUCCUACGGGAGGCAGCAGUGGGGAAUAUUGCACAAUGGGGGAAACCCUGAUGCAGCGACGCCGCGUGGAGGAAGAAGGUCUUCGGAUUGUAAACUCCUGUUGUUGAGGAAGAUAAUGACGGUACUCAACAAGGAAGUGACGGCUAACUACGUGCCAGCAGCCGCGGUAAAACGUAGGUCACAAGCGUUGUCCGGAAUUACUGGGUGUAAAGGGAGCGCAGGCGGGAAGACAAGUUGGAAGUGAAAUCCAUGGGCUCAACCCAUGAACUGCUUUCAAAACUGUUUUUCUUGAGUAGUGCAGAGGUAGGCGGAAUUCCCGGUGUAGCGGUGGAAUGCGUAGAUAUCGGGAGGAACACCAGUGGCGAAGGCGGCCUACUGGGCACCAACUGACGCUGAGGCUCGAAAGUGUGGGUAGCAAACAGGAUUAGAUACCCUGGUAGUCCACACUGUAAACGAUGAUUACUAGGUGUUGGAGGAUUGACCCCUUCAGUGCCGCAGUUAACACAAUAAGUAAUCCACCUGGGGAGUACGACCGCAAGGUUGAAACUCAAAGGAAUUGACGGGGGCCCGCACAAGCAGUGGAGUAUGUGGUUUAAUUCGACGCAACGCGAAGAACCUUACCAAGUCUUGACAUCCUGCGACGGACAUAGAAAUAUGUUUUUCCUUCGGGACGCAGAGACAGGUGGUGCAUGGUUGUCGUCAGCUCGUGUCGUGAGAUGUUGGGUUAAGUCCCGCAACGAGCGCAACCCUUAUGGUCAGUUACUACGCAAGAGGACUCUGGCCAGACUGCCGUUGACAAAACGGAGGAAGGUGGGGAUGACGUCAAAUCAUCAUGCCCUUUAUGACUUGGGCUACACACGUACUACAAUGGCGUUAAACAAAGAGAAGCAAGACCGCGAGGUGGAGCAAAACUCAGAAACAACGUCCCAGUUCGGACUGCAGGCUGCAACUCGCCUGCACGAAGUCGGAAUUGCUAGUGAUCGCAGAUCAGCAUGCUGCGGUGAAUACGUUCCCGGGCCUUGUACACACCGCCCGUCACACAUGAGAGCCGGGGGGACCCGAAGUCGGUAGUCUAACCGCAAGGAGGACGCCGCCGAAGGUAAAACUGGUGAUUGGGGUGAAGUCGUAACAAGGUAGCCGUAGGAGAGCCUGCGGCUG